Molecule: ribosomal RNA, 492 nt
Filed under: uncultured bacterium
Lineage: Bacteria
Description: partial 16S ribosomal RNA
Rfam family: Bacterial small subunit ribosomal RNA
Source: RNAcentral
AGUGAACGCUGGCGGUAGGCCUAACACAUGCAAGUCGAACGGCAGCACAGUAAGAGCUUGCUCUUACGGGUGGCGAGUGGCGGACGGGUGAGGAAUACAUCGGAAUCUACUUUUUCGUGGGGGAUAACGUAGGGAAACUUACGCUAAUACCGCAUACGACCUACGGGUGAAAGCAGGGGAUCUUCGGACCUUGCGCGAUUGAAUGAGCCGAUGUCGGAUUAGCUAGUUGGCGGGGUAAAGGCCCACCAAGGCGACGAUCCGUAGCUGGUCUGAGAGGAUGAUCAGCCACACUGGAACUGAGACACGGUCCAGACUCCUACGGGAGGCAGCAGUGGGGAAUAUUGGACAAUGGGAGCAAGCCUGAUCCAGCCAUACCGCGUGGGUGAAGAAGGCCUUCGGGUUGUAAAGCCCUUUUGUUGGGAAAGAAAAGCAGCAGGUUAAUACCCCGCUGUUCUGACGGUACCCAAAGAAUAAGCACCGGCUAACUUCAUG